RNAcentral lists this ribosomal RNA (247 nucleotides) under uncultured Saprospiraceae bacterium. RNAcentral's name for it is "partial 16S ribosomal RNA". It matches the Rfam family "Bacterial small subunit ribosomal RNA", at positions 135 to 390 of the family's 1533-position model. The record is from RNAcentral. Lineage: Bacteria; Pseudomonadati; Bacteroidota; Saprospiria; Saprospirales; Saprospiraceae.
GGCGGGGGAUAACCAGGGGAAACCCUGGCUAAUACCGCGUAUGGCCUACGGGUCAAAGUCUUCGGACGCCAGUUGAUGGGGCCGCGGCCCAUUAUUUAAUCCUAGUUGGUGGGGUAAUGGCCUACCAAGGGUACGAUGGGUAGCUGGUCUGAGAGGACGAUCAGCCACACUGGGACUGAGACACGGCCCAGACUCCUACGGGAGGCAGCAGUGGGGAAUUUUCCGCAAUGGGCGAAAGCCUGACGGA